RNAcentral lists this long non-coding RNA (1270 nucleotides) under Cricetulus griseus (Chinese hamster). Its description in RNAcentral is "lncRNA (ENSCGRG00015038741.1)". The record is from RNAcentral. Lineage: Eukaryota; Metazoa; Chordata; Mammalia; Rodentia; Cricetidae.
GCUAGAAUCACCACACUCAGGUGACAAAAGCAAGCUGUUCACAGAAAAUUCCAUGCUAGUCUUGGCAACAAAGGGCUCUCUGAAGUCGUAGGAAGUGGGGCAUGGGCCUGCAUGUCAGUGUGAUAGUUACUGGCUACUCAAUCACCCUCAGCCCUCUUCUCCAUCUUCCUCUGUUUUCUUGUCUCAUCAGCCACUCUGGCCCCAUGGGUAACAGGGCAGGCCUGGUCAGCCUCCCUGGGUUUUUGGCUGACACAGCUGAGGGCACACACCUCAAGGUUGAGGGCAGUGUUUUUUACAUCUGACGCCCCUGGGACCUGCUCCUGCCUCUUCUCCUCCUCUUCCUCUUCUUGCUCUCUUUGGAGCUCAGUGACUCAGUCUCAUCCCCCUGGGCCUCAUCCAGGGCUCCUGAUUCCUGGGGCUUUGUGCUCAGCAAUGAGGGAUCCUCAGCUUUUCCACUGCUCCCACUCAGGUCCCUUCCAGAUCCAUAGGUCUGACCCUGGGUGCCAGCCUCUUGGAAGGGCUUCCCGGAGCCUUCAUCCUUAUCUGCCUGUCCUAGUACCAUCAGUGGCCGUGGUUUACCAUGAGGUCUGAACCUCUGCAGCUUGUCACGGGGCCCCCAGACAAACUGGCAGCGAGGUCUGAAGUGCUCCCAUGCAAAGUACACAAGCUCCCGGCGCUGGUGUCUGCAACGAAUGGCGAACAUGAAGUAGUCCAGGACACUCUGACGCACGCUGGGCAGUUGGUGCUGUACCAGUGUCUCCUCCAGGAAGAAGCGGACCAGCGGUGCCUGGUAGUGCUCUAAGCCCAGCUCUCCCAGCGACUUGAGGAUGCGUGUAAUGCGCAGGUUGUUGUGCCUGUGACUGUUGAGGUUCUGGAAGCGUGGCUGGAAGUUCUGUGCACGGCAGACAGCACCGGUGUCCCGGUCCUCAAGUUGGAUCCCAUAGAAGCCCAGCAUGAGUUCAUAGGCCCGGACCAGACGCUCUUUGACCUCCUGGGAGCUUUUAAAUGCCUCCACCUCCUUGAGUGUGAGGGGCUUGGCAUGCUGGUUCACUCCUGGUUCCCUCAGAGGAAACAGCCACUGGAUAUAGGAGUGAUUCUCUUCAAGGACGAAAUAGUUGUCUUUCCAGUUGUGAAGAAUUUCCUCAAUGUAGAGACCAUUUGGCUGGAAGCAGAUCUCAUUUUUGUAGAAGCGCAGGUGGAAUCGUAGUCCGGGUCAUCCAUUCUCAAGAGGCAGGACCGGCUUUCCAUGGAAAGGAAAGGGGAAGAGGAG